GAUGAAGAACGUAGUGAAAUGCGAUAAGUAAUGUGAAUUGCAGAAUUCAGUGAAUCAUCGAAUCUUUGAACGCACAUUGCGCCCAUUAGUAUUCUAGUGGGCAUGCCUGUUCGAGCGUCAUUAAUUCCACUUAAGCCCUGCUUAGUGUUGGGAAUCUACUCUAGUGGUGCUACCCUGGAGCUACCCCUGAAAGGGGGCUGGCCCGGUAGCUACCCUGUAGUUCCUCAAAGAUAGUGCGCGGAGUUGCGUGGUCCUCUGAGCUUAGUAACUAUACACCUAGCUUUUGAGUGUCCCGCGGCGCCUGCCGUUUAAACCCCAUCUUUUAAUGGUUGACCUCGGAUCAGGUAGGAAUACCCGCUGAACUUAAGCAUAUCAAAGCGGAGGA
Molecule: unclassified non-coding RNA, 385 nt
Filed under: soil metagenome
Description: partial contains 5.8S ribosomal RNA, internal transcribed spacer 2, and large subunit ribosomal RNA
Rfam family: 5.8S ribosomal RNA (bases 1-120)
Source: RNAcentral